RNAcentral lists this ribosomal RNA (753 nucleotides) under uncultured Candidatus Poseidoniales archaeon. Its description in RNAcentral is "bacterial SSU rRNA". It matches the Rfam family "Archaeal small subunit ribosomal RNA", at positions 102 to 856 of the family's 1478-position model. The record is from RNAcentral. Lineage: Archaea; Methanobacteriati; Thermoplasmatota; Candidatus Poseidoniia; Candidatus Poseidoniales.
GGGUAACCUGCCCUAUGCUGGAUAAUAACCUCGGGAAACUGAGAAUAAUGAUCCAUAGUUCACUACGCCUGGAACGGUGAGUGGAUGAAAGCUCCGGCGGCAUAGGAUGGGCCUGCGGCGUAUCAGGUUGUAGGGGGUGUAACGUACCCUCUAGCCCUCUACGCGUACGGGUGUUGGGAGACAUAGCCCGGAGAUGGAUUCUGAGACACGAAUCCAGACCCUACGGGGUGCAGCAGGCGCGAAAACUUGGCAAUGCGAGAAAUCGUGACCAGGGAACUCCAAGUGCAUCGGGUAGGACCGGUGCUUUUCUUGACUCUAAAUAGGUCUUGGAAUAAGGGGUGGGUAAGGACGGUGCCAGCCGCCGCGGUAAUACCGGCGCCUCAAGUGGUAGUCGCUUUUAUUGGGCCUAAAACGUCCGUAGCCGGUCUGAUACAUUCGUGGGUAAAUCAACCAGCUCAACUGGUUGAAUUCUGCGAGGACGGUCAGACUUGGGACCGGGAGAGGUGUGGGGUACGCUCAGGGUAGGGGUAAAAUCCUGUCAUCCUGAGCGGACCACCUGUUGCGAAGGCGCCACACUAGAACGGAUCCGACGGUCAGGGACGAAGCCUAGGGGCACGAACCGGAUUAGAUACACGGGUAGUCCUAGGUGUAAACGCUGUGGACUUGAUGUUGGGGGUGCUCCGAGCACUCUCAGUGUCGAAGCGAAGGUGAUAAGUCCACUGCCUGGGAAGUACGGUCGCAGGGCUGAAAACU